RNAcentral lists this long non-coding RNA (347 nucleotides) under Homo sapiens (human). RNAcentral describes it as "non-protein coding LINC01410:6". Lineage: Eukaryota; Metazoa; Chordata; Mammalia; Primates; Hominidae. The record is from RNAcentral.
GCCCUGAGUGAAAAGUCCAAACACAUUUAUCUACCAUUCGAAGACGCUUUAUUGUCUGUCCUCUGCACAUCUCAGUAGUCUCUUUUUACCACACUGUCUAUAUACUGCAUGAGCCAUUUAUAUGAAACUAUCUGACACUCCAAGGCAUCUUGUACUAUAUAUUCAACUAUGUAUCCCUAGUACCUAGCACAGUCCUGGCAUAUAGUUUGCUACUAAACUUUUACAGAAUGAAGGAAUUAUCUUGUAUCCAGGUUCCAAGUUUUAAGGUGAUUCUUCAGUAAAAAAAAGUAUUACAGUUCACAAAUAAUCUACUUCCCUUUUUACAAAUGGGAUCAAUUUUAAUCUUA